Callorhinus ursinus (northern fur seal) is the source of this 565-nucleotide non-coding RNA. Lineage: Eukaryota; Metazoa; Chordata; Mammalia; Carnivora; Otariidae. The record is from RefSeq and is a predicted model, not a curated record.
AGCCACUUCUGGAAUUUUGCCAAAUCUAAAUAUGAUUAUAUUUCAUUUCAGGGUUCACAGGAUCAAUAUUUUUCUUAGUAUCAAAGUCUGCAACACUUUAGUGUUCCAGUGAAGCUAAAGAAGAGGUGUCUGAUGAUUUCUGAGCACCAAGUGACUAUUCUGUGGAGUCAUCUUUCCUUGCCUUUGAACGAGCUUUCCCUAGGCCAUGAGUCAACCUCAAUCUUUUGUACAUCCAAAUUGAAUUCCUGAAAAUGGAUGAUGUGCCAGCCAUUGUGCAGGGACAGGAACACAGCAAUGAAUGAACAUAAAGGAAAUUUAACGUGGGUUUCUGCUCUCUGCAAUCAAAACAAACCUGAGUUAGACAUUAACACCAAAAGUUAUGUUGGAAAAAGAAGACCCUAAAAUGGAAAAUUGGCUGAGUUGAGGUGAACUAAAUUACAAGGAUGAUUCCAUGAUCCCAGGAUGGAAAUUGGCAAGCUUUGUUCUGCCACAAGAAGCAGGUUAAAAAGUUACCUGUUAAAUCUUUAGACUUCAUGUGCUUACUGAGGUUGGAGCUAUAGGAGAU